Non-coding RNA from Vicia faba (fava bean), 366 nucleotides. NCBI's taxonomy places the organism in Eukaryota, Viridiplantae, Streptophyta, Magnoliopsida, Fabales, Fabaceae. The record is from the annotation of a GenBank genome assembly.
AUGCCACCAGUGGAGGCCGCGAUCGAUUUCGGAAGGUCAUGGCCGAUUACGCAGCUCCAGAACGAACUCGAUGGAGGUGAUUCUGGGCAACACAAUAUCGAUUGCAAGAAAAUUCUGAUGCUGACGUCUGAGUUGCACCCCAGUUACAAUUAUCAUGAAUGUUAUGACCUGAUUGAAUGUGAGAAACUAAUGAGGGGCGUACGAUUAUGCUGCUUGUUAAUUCGUAGAUAUCAUAGAGGCAGAAAAGAAUUUAAACUUAGCAACGUACUCAGAAGCUUGCUUAGCCGAAGGCGGAAAAGUGCGACAAACAACAACUUCACUAAGGGCUAUCACUACAGCACUAUUGAAGUACUAGUACCAGAGUAA